Molecule: ribosomal RNA, 492 nt
Filed under: uncultured bacterium
Lineage: Bacteria
Description: partial 16S ribosomal RNA
Rfam family: Bacterial small subunit ribosomal RNA
Source: RNAcentral
AGUGGACGCUGGCGGUAGGCCUAACACAUGCAAGUCGAACGGCAGCACAGUAAGAGCUUGCUCUUACGGGUGGCGAGUGGCGGACGGGUGAGGAAUACAUCGGAAUCUACUUUUUCGUGGGGGAUAACGUAGGGAAACUUACGCUAAUACCGCAUACGACUUACGGGUGAAAGCAGGGGAUCUUCGGACCUUGCGCGAUUGAAUGAGCCGAUGUCGGAUUAGCUAGUUGGCGGGGUAAAGGCCCACCAAGGCGACGAUCCGUAGCUGGUCUGAGAGGAUGAUCAGCCACACUGGAACUGAGACACGGUCCAGACUCCUGCGGGAGGCAGCAGUGGGGAAUAUUGGACAAUGGGCGCAAGCCUGAUCCAGCCAUACCGCGUGGGUGAAGAAGGCCUUCGGGUUGUAAAGCCCUUUUGUUGGGAAAGAAAAGCAGCAGGUUAAUACCCCGCUGUUCUGACGGUACCCAAAGAAUAAGCACCGGCUAACUUCGUG